Molecule: transfer RNA, 74 nt
Filed under: Archangium gephyra
Lineage: Bacteria; Pseudomonadati; Myxococcota; Myxococcia; Myxococcales; Archangiaceae
Also listed under: 5 other names
Description: tRNA-Arg
Rfam family: tRNA
About the family: Transfer RNA (tRNA) molecules are approximately 80 nucleotides in length.
Source: RNAcentral
GCGCUAGUAGCUCAGCUGGAUAGAGCAUCGGCCUUCUAAGCCGAGGGUCGUGGGUUCGAGUCCCGCCUGGCGCG